GACGAACGCUGGCGGCACGCUUAACACAUGCAAGUCGAACGGAGUUAUUGGAAGCUUGCUUUUAAUAACUUAGUGGCGGACGGGUGAGUAACACGUGAGCAACCUGCCUUUGAGAGCGGAAUAGCUUCUGGAAACGGAUGGUAAUACCGCAUAACAUUACCGGACCGCAUGAUCUAGUGUGAAAAGAUUUAUCGGUGUAAGAUGGACCCGCGUCUGAUUAGAUAGUUGGUGAGGUAACGGCUCACCAAGUCGACGAUCAGUAGCCGGCCUGAGAGGGUGAACGGCCACAUUGGGACUGAGACACGGCCCAAACUCC
This 316-nucleotide ribosomal RNA is filed under the name uncultured Ruminococcus sp. RNAcentral describes it as "bacterial SSU rRNA". It matches the Rfam family "Bacterial small subunit ribosomal RNA", at positions 28 to 339 of the family's 1533-position model. Lineage: Bacteria; Bacillati; Bacillota; Clostridia; Eubacteriales; Oscillospiraceae. The record is from RNAcentral.